Arabidopsis thaliana (thale cress) is the source of this 313-nucleotide long non-coding RNA. RefSeq annotates it as other RNA. The transcript has a single exon. Lineage: Eukaryota; Viridiplantae; Streptophyta; Magnoliopsida; Brassicales; Brassicaceae. The record is from RefSeq.
UAUGGUUUAUUUAUAGGGGCAUUAGAUCGGUUAGAGAAAGCACGAGGUGGUCUGGACGAAUCAAAUCGUGGUAAGUGUCAUUCCACGGGAGCUCCGAACACUAAUUAGCCUCCGAUUGGUUCCUUCCUUUUUUUAGUUAAACAUCAUCCAAAAGUGGAUAAGCACGACCUUAAAUAAUGAACGGAAUGUGGAUAACCUUUGGCCCUAACCUACGAUCUGUCACCGGACCGCAAGAACAUUGAGACGGCAUUCUCCGUCACCAAUAUCUCAAGAGGUCGUGACACAACUUAAGGCUUUCUAAGGACUAUAAUAU